RNAcentral lists this long non-coding RNA (563 nucleotides) under Phascolarctos cinereus (koala). RNAcentral's name for it is "lncRNA (ENSPCIG00000030867.1)". Lineage: Eukaryota; Metazoa; Chordata; Mammalia; Diprotodontia; Phascolarctidae. The record is from RNAcentral.
AGUUAAGCCACGCUUUUGUGGUCUAUUCCGUUAUUCCAAGCUCAUGUGAUUGAUUUCCACUGAAACUCAGCAGAGAAGAGAGGAGUCUUGGUGGGUGGGAGUAUGAACCACAAGAAUCUAGAUAUGUCCACGACUGCACCAAACUCCACUCUAAAAAGGUUCAGAGAGGCAGCCUGGCCCGUGCCAUGUCUGUCGCUCGAUGCCCCUUUGUGCAGGGCCCAUCACAGAACAAUGCAGAACGAAUCCUUAAUGACCAAGUGCUGCUGACUCGGGGCACAAAGACCCAGCAGAGGCACCUUUUUCUUUCCAAAGAUGGUCUGGUCAUUGCCAAGUUAAAGUAAGAUUUGACCUUAUCAACUAGCCUCUGCUAACAAACCCACACUUUUUCCACGUUGCAAAUACAUGGGAAAAAAUGACUCAAGAGAGUUAUAGAAGAAAGGGAAAGGGCCUUUAAAAAUCAUAAGCAAUUGCCUCAUUUUAUAGGUGAAGAAAAAGAGGGAAGAACCCAAGAUCAUGCAGCUAGUUAGCAGCAGAGAUGAGACUAGGCAGACUUACAGUUAAAA